RNAcentral lists this ribosomal RNA (398 nucleotides) under uncultured bacterium. RNAcentral's name for it is "bacterial SSU rRNA". It matches the Rfam family "Bacterial small subunit ribosomal RNA", at positions 362 to 775 of the family's 1533-position model. The record is from RNAcentral.
UUUUCCGCAAUGGGCGAAAGCCUGACGGAGCAAUGCCGCGUGAAGGUAUAAGGCCUACGGGUCAUGAACUUCUUUUCCCGGAGAAGAAGCAAUGACGUUAUCCGGGGAAUAAGCAUCGGCUAACUCUGUGCCAGCAGCCGCGGUAAGACAGAGGGUGCAAGCGUUAUCCGGAAUGAUUGGGCGUAAAGCGUCUGUAGGUGGCUUUUCAAGUCCGGCGUCAAAUCCCAGGGCUAAACCCUGGACAGGCGGUGGAAACUACCAAGCUGGAGUACGGUAGGGGCAGAGGGAAUUUCCGGUGGAGCGGUGAAAUGCAUUGAGAUCGGAAAGAACACCAACGGCGAAAGCGCUCUGCUGGGCCGACACUGACACUGAGAGACGAAAGCUAGGGGAGCGAAUGG